RNAcentral lists this long non-coding RNA (595 nucleotides) under Homo sapiens (human). RNAcentral's name for it is "HSALNT0376662". The record is from RNAcentral. Lineage: Eukaryota; Metazoa; Chordata; Mammalia; Primates; Hominidae.
CUUACCUCUAGCAGUGUAGUAUUGAUAGAAUCAAGGGAACUUACUUAAAAAGAAAUCAGAUUCCAGGGUUCCAACCCCAGAAAUUCUAAUUCUAGAAGUCUGACUAUGUCCCAUGAAUUUGCACUCUAAGCAGACUUCCUAGGUAGCUCUGAAACAGGUGGUCUGUAGACCACACUUUAAGAAUUAUCUUCAAGGAUUGGGCUAGUUUUAGUUUGUAGUGAUUUCUUGUGUCUCUUAAUGAAGGCCUAGACAAUAUAGUCUGGAUUGAUUGGAUAAACACAGAGGAACAAGAGAGCGGCAGAAUUGUACCAUGCAUGCAGCAGGCCAUGCUCUACACGGGCCUCUCAGGAUGCAGCAGAGAGAUAUACAGGCUUUUUGGAAUACUGAUGUGAGUGUAGAGGCCAGAAAAAUGAAGCUAGGUGGUAUUGGAGGAGAAUCUCUGAAGACUGCUCUCAGUAGGCUGACAACAAGUUAAGAUGAAUGUGUAACUGUUUUCUACAUUCUUCUUACUGCUAUAAAAAUAAUUGAAAUGCAGAAUGCUUAACUUCAUUCAGCUGUAAGCCUUGUAAGAACAUCAAUAAAAAUUUAAAAAUUC